Molecule: unclassified non-coding RNA, 640 nt
Filed under: Pogonomyrmex barbatus (red harvester ant)
Lineage: Eukaryota; Metazoa; Arthropoda; Insecta; Hymenoptera; Formicidae
Description: transcription factor Adf-1-like, transcript variant X1
Source: RNAcentral
AUAAACUUAUCCAUAAGACAACUGGUUGAAAUUUCUACGUAACCAAUAUGUAUAGAUAAUUUGUAUUAAUGUUAGGCUCAAGCAAAUAAUAAGUGGCACAUCUAUAAUGUAUCUAACCAAUGUUAUAUAUAAAGUCAAUAAAGAAACUAGUAGAAACCAGUGGAUUUGACGAAAUAAAGAUUUAUAUAAAGAUAAAUAAGUCAUAUAAAGAUAAAAUAUUACUUAAAAGUGACGGAUAAAAUAAGUAUAUUAUUCUGUAGGAAGAUAUUUAGGAAUUCUAUAUUAUUCUAUAGGAAGAUAUUUAGGGGUUCAUUAAUCAAUCUUAUGUUGUAUUCCAAUCUACAAAUAAAAGAAUGGAAGACGAUCAUAUAUAUGGAAAUAAAUUCUCUUUAUGCCAAGACGAAAUUGUAUUGGAGAUAAUGAAUGUGAAUAAUGAAAAUUCUGUAGGAGAUUCUUUAUUAACAGAUUUAGUUAGAGGAUAUCCCUAUGUAUAUAAUAAAUCACCGCCAAAUUUUAAAGAUUCUUUAAUGAAAGAAAAUUCAUGGGAAGAAAUAGCUAAAAAUCAUGAUCUUGGUCACCUACUGAAUGUCAAAAUCGAUGGAUCAGAUUAAGGGAAAGAUUUUCUAAAGAAAGAAGAGAA